GUAGUUAGCCGGGGCUUCCUCCUUGACUACCGUCACUUUCUUCGUUGCCAAGGACAGAGGUUUACAAUCCGAAAACCUUCUUCCCUCACGCGGCGUUGCUGGGUCAGGCUUGCGCCCAUUGCCCAAUAUUCCCCACUGCUGCCUCCCGUAGGAGUCUGGACCGUGUCUCAGUUCCAGUGUGGCCGAUCAGCCUCUCAGCUCGGCUACCCAUCGCAGGCUUGGUGGGCUGUUAUCUCACCAACUACCUAAUGGGACGCGAACCCCUCCUUCAGCGGAUUGCUCCUUUGACCUCAUCCCGAUGCCGGGUCGUGGUCUUAUGCGGUAUUAGCACUUGUUUCCAGGUGUUAUCCCCCUCUGAAGGUCAGGUUGUUCACGCGUUACUCACCCGUUCGCCACUAAAAUUUAUCUUCCAUCCGAAAACUUCUGAUAAAUCUCCGUUCGACUUGCAUGUGUUAGGCACGCCGCCAGCGUUCGUCCUGAGCCAUAAUCAAACUCUGA
RNAcentral lists this ribosomal RNA (498 nucleotides) under uncultured bacterium. RNAcentral describes it as "partial 16S ribosomal RNA". The record is from RNAcentral.